GCAAGUAAUGGAACCUGACAAGAAACGUAAAAGUGAUUAGGUUAGCAAAGACGUGAAGGACUAGAGAUUUUUCAUUCAUUUCACAGCUGGAUAUCCUAUCUUUAACUUCAGCAAACCUUUCACAUCCAUUUUAUUCCAUGUGCAUGAAUGCAAGAAAAAGGCAUGCUUCAUUGGCUUAACUUUGGCACAUGACUUCCAUGUCACAAACUCGGUAACUAUCUUCAUGCUUAGAAAAUUAUAUAUUUUUAUCAGAUUCAUCUUUAUGAAUUUGCUCCUUAAUAUUUUCCCCUUUUCUGAAACACACUUGCAUACCCGUUGGUAAAAGCAAA
Molecule: unclassified non-coding RNA, 329 nt
Filed under: Hevea brasiliensis (rubber tree)
Lineage: Eukaryota; Viridiplantae; Streptophyta; Magnoliopsida; Malpighiales; Euphorbiaceae
Source: RNAcentral